This 460-nucleotide ribosomal RNA is filed under the name uncultured bacterium. RNAcentral's name for it is "partial 16S ribosomal RNA". It matches the Rfam family "Bacterial small subunit ribosomal RNA", at positions 338 to 795 of the family's 1533-position model. The record is from RNAcentral.
CCUACGGGGAGCAGCAGUGAGGAAUAUUGGUCAAUGGACGAGAGUCUGAACCAGCCAAGUAGCGUGAAGGAUGACUGCCCUAUGGGUUGUAAACUUCUUUUAUAUGGGAAUAAAAUGUUCCACGUGUGGGAUUUUGUAUGUACCAUAUGAAUAAGGAUCGGCUAACUCCGUUCCAGCAGCCGCGUUAAUACGGAGGAUCCGAGCGUUAUCCGGAUUUAUUUGGUUUAAAGGGAGCGUAGGUGGAUUGUUAAGUCAGUUGUGAAAGUUUGCGGCUCAACAGUAAAAUUGCAGUUGAAACUGGCAGUCGUGAGUACAGUAGAGGUGGGAGGAAUUCGUGGUGUAGCGGUGAAAUGCUUAGAUAUCACGAAGAACUCCGAUUGCGAAGGCAGCUCACUGGACUGCAACUGACACGGAGGCUCGAAAGUGUGGGUAUCAAACAGGAUUAGAUACCCGGGUAGUA